This is a long non-coding RNA of Malaclemys terrapin pileata, 1544 nucleotides long. RefSeq lists it as uncharacterized. The transcript has 3 exons. The record is from RefSeq and is a predicted model, not a curated record. Lineage: Eukaryota; Metazoa; Chordata; Testudines; Emydidae.
GAAAACUACCAACUGCGCAAAGAGAAAGAGGAGUGUUUACCCACCAUUCUGAAGGGAAAUUUGCGCUUCCUACCUGGUAAUUCAAAUAGCAUCCUUAAAAGCAAAGCAAACAAAACAAAAAGUAUAAUUCAACGUACUGCGAGAGUAACACUGAGCCAGCCAACAACGUCACAAAGUACUAAUCUGGAUUAGUCUCAGCGUGUGAGUGUCCGGAUUCAGUCUGAAUGAAGGGAGCAGGGCGCCUUCUGCUUGAAGAGGUGUAAAUUCCUGGGAGUUCUUCUGAGCCUGCUUUGUGGGAGUCAGGGACAGGAACUGCUGCUAAAGGAAAACAUAGAUUAUAUGGAAAUCCAACAGCGUGGAGUGCUCAUAAAACAACCAAAAAUGACAGCCACGGCACCGAAAGAACGGUAUCAACUAUCUUCAUCAUCCCGGGGUGCAUAAAACCUGAAGACUCCCACUACAAUUUUUGCUAUUUAAAAAUCAACGAGCUUCCUUUUUAAUAUCCAGACUCAAUAAUAUUGCAUCAGAAUAACCUCAGUGAUGUCAUGUUUACAUACUUUCCAAAGUGAUUUGAAUAGUAGAAAACGUAGGCUUUGCACCCCACAUAGUGCAAAUGCUUUGAAAAACAUGAAAAAUGUUACCUAAAGGUAACGUUCAAGAACAAUUAUAUCACAUACUAGACCUAAGCUAUCCUGCAGAGAGAGUGAGAGUGAGGAUCUAUCAAUAAAUCCAAACUAAUGCUACUAAUACGUAUACUGUUAAAACAGAAAACAGUUUCUAUUCCUACAUUUGAACCAGCCAUAAAUUCUCUUGUUUCAAUUUCACUGUAAUACGUAAGCUUUUAGGAAACUUAUUCUUAAUAAAAAUAUAAAAUGUGUCAUGCCCUUAUCCAUUUGUUAUUAUCUGAGUCACAAGAAAAGUGUAAGGACAAAUUCUGCUCCCACUUACACCCAGAUAAGGGCCCGAUCGACCCUACUGAAGUCAAUGAAAGUUUUGCUAUUGACUUCAGCGAAAUCAGGAUCCGGAUUCCUAAAUCUGGUGUAAUUCCACUUAAUUUACACUAUGGAUUAACACCAAGGUAAUUGAGAGCAGAAUCUUCCCCAUAAAUAUCUCAAAACUACUCAUUAAAGUUUCUAGCUUAAACAGGACCUUUUACAUUUAUUUUUAAGAAUCAUUAGUGGUAUAUUUCCAUGUUAUUUUACAUUAAAGUCGUCUCCCUUUGCUCGCCUCCAGAUUCUACAAACUCUUACUCACGUGAGUAAUUCUCUCUCCAGUAGUCCUACUGAAUUCAUUAGGACUACUGGGCGAGUAAGGGUUUAUAGGACGUAAUUUUAAAGUAAGGUAUUUUUGUUGCUCAAAAGAAAAAACGAAGGUUGUUUUUGAGGCAGAGGACAUGGAAAAGAUUUCACAAUGUUAUCUCAAAACAACCAACGUAGAGGUAUUAUAUAAAAUGACCGGUCAGGUACUUAAAAUAUUGUAUAAAUACUGAAAAUGUUCAUAAAACUUUUAAGUUUGUAUAAUUAUAAUUAUACAGUUUGGCUUUA